RNAcentral lists this ribosomal RNA (497 nucleotides) under uncultured bacterium. RNAcentral's name for it is "partial 16S ribosomal RNA". It matches the Rfam family "Bacterial small subunit ribosomal RNA", at positions 28 to 507 of the family's 1533-position model. The record is from RNAcentral.
GAUGAACGCUGGCGGCGUGCCUAAUACAUGCAAGUCGAGCGAACAGAUGAGGAGCUUGCUCCUCUGACGUUAGCGGCGGACGGGUGAGUAACACGUGGAUAACCUACCUAUAAGACUGGGAUAACUUCGGGAAACCGGAGCUAAUACCGGAUAAUAUAUUGAACCGCAUGGUUCAAUAGUGAAAGACGGUUUUGCUGUCACUUAUAGAUGGAUCCGCGCCGCAUUAGCUAGUUGGUAAGGUAACGGCUUACCAAGGCGACGAUGCGUAGCCGACCUGAGAGGGUGAUCGGCAACACUAGAACUGAGACACGGUCCAGAAUACUACGGGAGGCAGCAGUAGGGAAUCUUCCGAAAUGGGCGAAAGCCUGACGGAGCAACGCCGCGUGAGUGAUGAAGGUCUUCGGAUCGUAAAACUCUGUUAUUAGGGAAGAACAAAUGUGUAAGUAACUAUGCACGUCUUGACGGUACCUAAUCAGAAAGCCACGGCUAACUACGUG